CCUGAAACACGCGAGUGCGCGGCCCCAGUGGCCUAAUGGAUAAGGCACUGGCCUCCUAAGCCAGGGAUUGUGGGUUCGAGUCCCAUCUGGGGUGACUUCUUUUCGCUGCCGAGGAUCCGCGGCGGAUGCCGGGGUGCCCCGCAGAAGGCGCGGACCGGAUCGGACCGGUUCGGUUCGGUUCGCUGGCGGCGGGGAACGCGAUGCGCCCCUUCCUGCAGCCCCUUGCUGCUUCCCCGCUCUCCAUCCCGCACCUCCUGGCGUGGAUCGGGCGUUUUUCGUGCUGUUAAACCAGGCGCGAACUGGGAAUCUGCUUUUAUUCCCUGAAAUUCCCAGCUCCUCCGGCUCCGGUGUCAAGUGCUCGUCCAGGUCUUUACGCCUUUGAAGCAAAGUUUUCCAAAUCUGAGGGAAAGGAGCCCAGAGCAGUGGGUGGUCCUGGCAGUGAGGUCUCCUGGGGAUGGGGAGGCUCAGCUCAGGCUGUUGCUGGCCUGGAUGGUGAUGGUGGGAGGACAUUCAGUGUCACAAAAACAUCGCAAGCAGCGACAUUGCCUUGUUUGCAAAGGCCAGGGCACAGCACAGAGCUUCAGACACCUGUGUCUGUGAGAGGGCUGCUGCUUCCCCUCCCAUGCCCAGGGAAGAAGGGGAUUCACCAUCCCUGGAAGUGCUCAAAACGUGUGUGGAUGUGGCAUUUGGGGAAUGGUUUGCUGGUGAACAUGGCAGUGCUGGGUUGGACUUGAUAAAUCUUAGAGGUGUUUCCCACCCUGAAUGAUUCCUUGCAGAAAAGCUUCUGAUGGGGGAAAAUGUGAAAUGAGAUGUCUGCUCCUGGUGCUGAGAGGAGUGCAGAGGCCAGGGCAGGGCUUUCUGGGGUGUCAGGAUGCAUUGGAAUGGAUUCCAUUUUGGGGAAGAUCUGGGCUUUGAACACUGUUUCUGCAGAUGCAAACAUUCCGUCAGGGGAGAGCUCAAAGCUCCCCUUCCAAAGGGAAUGCAGCAGAGUCCUGAUACCUCCAUGUGCCCCAAAUAAACCCGAGGGACAAAUUCUCUCUCUUAUUUGGGAAUUUGGAAUGUUUUCCUAAAACAGAGCCACCUCUCCCCACCCCAGGUGGGACUCGAACCCACAAUCCCUGACUUAGAAGGCCAGUGCCUUAUCCAUUAGGCCACUGGGGCCCUGCCAAAUACCAAAAAAGGGUAAUUUUGGUUUCUUUGGGCUUCCCAGUAAUCCUGCUUGGCAGUGGUGAAACACAACAGAGCUUCAUCCUCCUUAAACAGGGUCCACUAACGAGCAUGGAGGACUCAUCCAGAGGAUUUUAGUGUCCCACCUCAAAGGCCAGAAGCCUUCUGCACUCACAGGAAAUCUACUGUAGCUUUGUGUUCAGCAGAAGAGGGUGCUCUGAUGCAGCACAGGCUGCUUGAAAAACACAAAGAACAUUAAAUAAAAGUAUCUGACAAAUA
Cyanistes caeruleus (blue tit) is the source of this 1446-nucleotide long non-coding RNA. RefSeq lists it as uncharacterized. NCBI's taxonomy places the organism in Eukaryota, Metazoa, Chordata, Aves, Passeriformes, Paridae. The record is from RefSeq and is a predicted model, not a curated record.